RNAcentral lists this long non-coding RNA (647 nucleotides) under Homo sapiens (human). RNAcentral describes it as "HSALNT0112318". Lineage: Eukaryota; Metazoa; Chordata; Mammalia; Primates; Hominidae. The record is from RNAcentral.
UUCCAGAAGAGGAUCAUCUCCUGAGAAAUCUUGGCGCCCUGAGUUGACAUCUUUGCUGGAGACUGACAGCUGGAAUGAGAUGUUCAAGUGAAGAAGAUGAAGAGAAACACGUCUCUUUAAGAGGUAAGGAACCUGGUGAACAUCCGAAGACUCACCUGCUCCCUGAUGUCUUCCCACAAGCACAUCUGCUCCCACCAUGCAGCCCAUUCCCAGGAUGCAGACAACGAUGCCGAUGAAAUGCACAGCCUUGUACCGGAUCAGCAGGAAGAACCAGGAGAGCAAAAUCACGACUGGGAUCACAAAACAGUCCAGGAGCUAUUGGGAGGGAUGAAGGUAAACAACAACAGGAGAUUCAGGAGGAAGCAUUCCAUGUAGUAGGGAAAAGUAAUUUAGUUCUGCAGAAAGGGUUCUGCCUUUCCCCUGAACCUGAGAUUUUGUGUAGACCCAGACUUGAUGUACUUAAAACAGACUCUGAAAUAAAUGGAAAUUAGCUUUAUUUAUUUACUUAAUUGUAAACAUCCCCCAAACUUUAAGGGAAAGGGGAGAAGGCAAAUUGAUAAGACAGGCUGGUGGUGAAGAGUCUCCUGCCUCCAGGUGCUGGGGCAGCUCUGCCUCCUGUCUUCCUCAGGGCCAGGCCAUGCUCCAUG